UGGCUCAGCGGCAACGGGUGAGUAAUGGACAGGUAACGUACCCCAAGACGUGGAUAGCUCAUCGAAAGAUGAGAUAAUACGCGAUAAUGUUGCAGAGCGCCGGCUCUGCAAAGAAAGCGGGCGCAAGCUCGCGCUUCCGGAUCGGCCUGUCUCCUAUCAGCUAGUUGGCGGGGUAAGGGCCCACCAAGGCGAUGACGGGUAGCUGGUCUCAGAGGAUGGUCAGCCACAUUGGAACUGCGACACGGUCCAGACUCCUACGGGAGGCAGCAGUGGGGAAUCAUGGUCAAUGGGCGAAAGCCUGAACCUGCGACGCCGCGUGAGAGAUGAAGGUCGUAAGAUCGUAAAACUCUUUUCAGGAAUCUUAAAGCCUGUCCGUCAACAACGGGCAGGUCUGACUCUCCCUGGAAUAAGCCCCAGCCAACUACGUGCCAGCAGCUGCGGUAAUACGUAGGGGGCGAGCGUUAUUCGGAAUUACUGGGUGUAAAGGGUAUGUAGGCGGUCUCGCGAGUCGCACGUAAAAGUCC
RNAcentral lists this ribosomal RNA (524 nucleotides) under uncultured Caldisericum sp. Its description in RNAcentral is "bacterial SSU rRNA". It matches the Rfam family "Bacterial small subunit ribosomal RNA", at positions 88 to 603 of the family's 1533-position model. Lineage: Bacteria; Pseudomonadati; Caldisericota; Caldisericia; Caldisericales; Caldisericaceae. The record is from RNAcentral.